UGGCCCGUAGUGUAACGGUAGCACCCCAGUUUUUGGUACUGGUAGUCCAGGUUCAAAUCCUGGCGGGCCAG
RNAcentral lists this transfer RNA (71 nucleotides) under Phycisphaeraceae bacterium. RNAcentral describes it as "tRNA-Gln". It matches the Rfam family "tRNA". Rfam says of the family: Transfer RNA (tRNA) molecules are approximately 80 nucleotides in length. Their secondary structure includes four short double-helical elements and three loops (D, anti-codon, and T loops). The record is from RNAcentral. Lineage: Bacteria; Pseudomonadati; Planctomycetota; Phycisphaerae; Phycisphaerales; Phycisphaeraceae.